CCUACGGGAGGCAGCAGUAAGGAAUAUUGGUCAAUGGAGGCAACUCUGAACCAGCCAUGCCGCGUGCAGGAAGAAGGCCCUAUGGGUCGUAAACUGCUUUUGUACCAGAGAAAACCCGAGUACGUGUACUCGGUUGAUAGUAUGGUAAGAAUAAGCAUCGGCUAACUUCGUGCCAGCAGCCGCGGUAAGACGAAGGAUGCAAGCGUUAUCCGGAUUCAUUGGGUUUAAAGGGUGCGUAGGCGGACUGAUAAGUCAGUGGUGAAAUCUCUCGGCUUAACCGAGAAACUGCCAUUGAUACUGUUAGUCUAGAGUAUAGAUGACGUUGGCGGAAUAUGACAUGUAGCGGUGAAAUACUUAGAUAUGUCAUAGAACACCGAUUGCGAAGGCAGCUAACGAAACUAUAACUGACGCUGAGGCACGAAAGUGCGGGGAUCAAACAGGAUUAGAUACCCUGGUAGUCCGCACCGUAAACGAUGAUUACUCGUUGUUGGCAAUAUGACCGUCAGCGACCAAGCGAAAGCGAUAAGUAAUCCACCUGGGGAGUACGCCGGCACGGUGAACUCAAAGGAAUUGACGG
This 577-nucleotide ribosomal RNA is filed under the name uncultured bacterium. Its description in RNAcentral is "bacterial SSU rRNA". It matches the Rfam family "Bacterial small subunit ribosomal RNA", at positions 338 to 916 of the family's 1533-position model. The record is from RNAcentral.